ACAAAAAAGUCCUUAUGGAGCUGCCUGAGCAGAUGACACAUGUUUAACGGCCGCCGUACCCUAACCGUGCAAAGCUCGUAUAAUCACUUGUUCCUUAAAUAGGGACCUGUAUGAAUGGCUCCACGAGGGUUCAUCUGUCUCUUACUUUUAACCAAUGAAAUUGACCUGCCCAUAAAGAGGCAGGCAUAACACACCAAAACAAAAAGACCCUAUGGAGAAC
This 220-nucleotide ribosomal RNA is filed under the name Nilssonia hurum. RNAcentral describes it as "partial 16S ribosomal RNA". Lineage: Eukaryota; Metazoa; Chordata; Testudines; Trionychidae. The record is from RNAcentral.